Molecule: ribosomal RNA, 253 nt
Filed under: uncultured bacterium
Lineage: Bacteria
Description: partial 16S ribosomal RNA
Rfam family: Bacterial small subunit ribosomal RNA
Source: RNAcentral
UACGAAGGGGGCGAGCGUUGUUCGGAAUUACUGGGCGUAAAGGGCGCGCAGGCGGCCUUAGAAGUCAGAUGUGAAAGCCCCGGGCUCAACCUGGGAAUGGCAUUUGAUACUCUGAGGCUGGAGUACGGGAGAGGAGAGUGGAAUUCCCAGUGUAGAGGUGAAAUUCGUAGAUAUUGGGAAGAACACCGGUGGCGAAGGCGGCUUCUUGGGCCCUACCUGACGCUGAGGCGCGAAAGCCAGGGGAGCGAACGGG